Molecule: ribosomal RNA, 645 nt
Filed under: Morchella sp. Mel-13
Lineage: Eukaryota; Fungi; Ascomycota; Pezizomycetes; Pezizales; Morchellaceae
Description: eukaryotic LSU rRNA
Rfam family: Eukaryotic large subunit ribosomal RNA
Source: RNAcentral
UUGACCUCGGAUCAGGUAGGGAUACCCGCUGAACUUAAGCAUAUCAAUAAGCGGAGGAAAAGAAACCAACAGGGAUUGCCUCAGUAACGGCGAGUGAAGCGGCAAAAGCUCAAAUUUUAAAGCUGACAUCUUCGGUGUCCGCGUUGUAAUUUUGUGAGGCAUCUCCGGGUAGGGCGCCGGCCUAAGUUCCUUGGAACAGGACGUCACAGAGGGUGAGAAUCCCGUGCUUGGCUGGCUGUCCCCGUCCAUGUGAGGUGUCUUCGACGAGUCGAGUUGUUUGGGAAUGCAGCUCAAAAUGGGUGGUAAAUUUCAUCUAAAGCUAAAUAUUGGUGGGAGACCGAUAGCGCACAAGUAGAGUGAUCGAAAGAUGAAAAGCACUUUGAAAAUAGAGUUAAAAAGUACGUGAAAUUGUUGAAAGGGAAGCGCUUGAGAUCAGACUUCGGUAAGGGGUGAUCAGCCGUCCUUCUGGGCGGUGCACUUGCCCCCCUCCGGGCCAGCAUCGGUUGAGGCGGCGGGAUAAAGGUCCCGGGAAUGUGGCUCCUUCACGGGAGUGUUAUAGCCCGGGUGAAUGCCGCCAGCUUCGACCGAGGACCGCACCCGCAAGGGUUAGGAUGCUUGGCAUAAUGGUCUUCAGCGACCCGUCUU